UACGUAGGGGGCAAGCGUUGUCCGGAUUUAUUGGGCGUAAAGGGCGCGCAGGCGGCCCGGCGCGUCCGCGGUGAAAGCUCCCGGCUCAACUGGGAGAGGUCCGCGGAAACGGUCGGGCUGGAGCAAGGUAGGGGGUCGUGGAAUUCCCGGUGUAGUGGUGGAAUGCGUAGAGAUCGGGAGGAACACCAGUGGCGAAGGCGGCGACCUGGACCUGUGCUGACGCUGAGGCGCGAAAGCGUGGGGAGCGAUCCGG
Molecule: ribosomal RNA, 253 nt
Filed under: uncultured bacterium
Lineage: Bacteria
Description: partial 16S ribosomal RNA
Rfam family: Bacterial small subunit ribosomal RNA
Source: RNAcentral